UUACACUGGACACGACAAAAAAAAAUUGCUUAAGAAACUCAAACCAAACCAAAGAAUUCGCAUGUGUAAUGUGUAAUAAGCAGUAAACAAUCAGCUAUAGAAAGGCGGCAAGGCCCCCCCCAGUUUGUGCAACAGCUUGUGUAGAGGAUCAAGUGGAUUGUCCGGUUCCGUAGUAUUGGUGACUCCCGCGAUAAGGGAACAGAGCAUUCGAGAUUACUGCGUAUUAAGUUACACUUACACAUUCAGAUUUCCUGCUCAGAAAGAACAACAACUGCGCCACAACAACAGCAACAACAAAGACAAUGGCAACGGCGCGAAAUGCUGCUGAGCCAGCGGAAUUGGCGCUCUUUCUCAACAACGAGCUGAGCCUUAGCAAGGCAAACGACAAUGGCAACGGCACCGACAAUGACAACGGCAACGGCAAAAAUAACAUGGCCACAAAUACUCCAAGGAAAUUCGUUGCUCCAGCCGCAAGCAGCAGCUUCAAUAAGUAUCGCAGCAGCGCCAACAACAAGGACAAACAGUUCAAUGCCAUUUGCAUGAAGGCCCAAGCUGGCCAAAGAGUGAUGAUCAUCAUGCGCGGGCCACCGGGCAGCGGCAAGUCCACAUUGGCCGAAUCUCUACUACGCCAAUGCCGUCUACUAGAGCACAACGAUGUGCUGGACUUUGUCUAUAGCACGGAUGAUUACUUCAAGUCCAGGCGCGGCUAUGAGUAUAAUCCAACUCAGCUGCCGACCGCCCACGAAUGGAACAAGGAGAGGGUACGCCAGAAGGCCUCUCUGGGCUGGAGUCCGAUCAUAGUCGACAACACCAACAUAAUGGUGUGGGAAAUGCAGCCCUAUGUCCAGAUUGCCGUACAGCAUGGCUACGUACUGGAGUUGUUGGAGCCGCAAACAAGCUGGUCCAAGUCUGCCAGUAAGCUGGCGCAAAAGAACAUCCAUCAGGUGCCCAGGGAGAACAUUCAGCGCAUGCUGGAGCGCUAUGAGAAGACCAGUGUGCCGGACCUUAUUAAGUUGCUGAAGGAAACGAAGUACACAGUAAAGUUGCCACAGCUACGCCAAUUCCCGCCACUGCCGGCGGUGCCCACCCCAGCCCCACUGCCGGAGAACGACAAUCCCGAUGGGCUAUCCCCAAACGGUUUCAAGCUGAAUAUUAAUGCCCGAACUUGGGUGCCCUACGAGCAGGGUGCUCCCGCCUACUGGUCGCGGUCGGGCAGUGAGCAGGCCACAGCAUCCUCCACAAUAGACCCAGCCGAAGUUGGGACUGGCUCGUACGAGAAAUCACUUAUAGAGCUGCUACGCGAUGAGCCGGCCGAAAAGGCCCCACCGCCGGCUGACUCCAGUGAACCAAAAACAACUUUAGAGCGCCACUGCCUGAACUGUCCCAACGAACCCUAUAAUUUCGUUUUACUGCGUCAAAUGUACCCGAACAAGCUACUGACGGGGCUCUGGGAUCUCUAUGUGAAGUGCAAAACAAAUGUGGACUGGGCUGUGGACAUACUGAUCAAAGAGGAUGAGCUGAAUGCCGACUCGGGGUCGGACUUUGACGCGUCCAUGCUGCCAGAGGAGUCGGCACAGUUCCAAUGCGAUUGUGGGAGAGCUGAGAAAAAGGAGGUGGCUCCUACGCCGCCCCGUACACCAUCGCCAACGGGAUUGGUGUCCAAGCCGAUGCCCAAGGCCCAACGCCAGAGCCGUAACAAACGCAUCUUGGCGCCGCCCAACAAGGAGCUCCAACUGCAAGUUGAGAACUGCUUUGUAAUAGGUGAUGAGCUAUACUCGGAGCACACCCGAAAGAUACGCGACAUUCGCAAUGGCAUACUCGAUCAGCCGCUGGUUGUUCCGCACUCGGAAGUCGUGGAAGCGGCGGAGGAGGAGGAGGAUCCCGAGGACAACAAUCUGGAGGAAAUGGACCUGGGGUCCACUUUGGUCAAGCAACUACGCACUCUAUUCCAUACGGACGGUGAGAUGAUGCCGCCAGAGGAGGAACUGCCCGCCACGAAGGUAUUUGUGCCACGUCAACUGCUGAAGCAGCUGUACAUGCUGUGGCUGGAGGGCGUCUACAACCAGCUGGAGGAGCAGCGUCAGAACACGCUGCGCGACGAUGAGCAAUUUGCACGCCUGUUGAAGCAUCCCGAAUACGCCGAGUGCAGCGAGUCGCCUAGCAACGUAAAUGAGCUGCUCGACAUGGAGCUGGCGUGGAGCAUUUACAACAGCGAGCAACAGGCCGCCAAGCAGGCGUCAGAGAUGGCCGCCCGUCAGCAGCCAAACGACAUUGCCACCCAUUUGACCAAGAUGAAGCUGUGCGAGAAGUUCCCGAAUAUACCCAACGACACGGUGCUCGAGAUAUUCUCGGCCACUGGCAGCAACUAUGGCAAGACCGUGGAGGUGCUCGACAGCAACGUCCAGAGCUCUCUCAACGAGGCGGAGCUUUAUGAUAAGGCGCUGCGCGAGAGCGAGAAGGUGGCUCUGCAGGAGCAACAGCAACAGCAGAAGUUACAGCAACCCAUUAAAGUCAGCGAGAAUGCUGCAAGCCAAGGCCAGCGUUGCGGAUCGUCAGCGUCGACGAGCAGCCGCUCGCCGCAGUUGCACGAGGAGGCAAAGAGCGCCGCUCUGCGUGACUUCGAGGAGACCCGGAAUCUGGCCGCCCAUCAUGCCCAGCUAAAGGCCGAAUGCUAUCUGAAGGCCAACCAGGCUGUGCAGAAGGGCAACGGCAACGUGGCCCUGUACUACUCCCAGAUAGCCAAUCUGCACAAGACAAAGAUCGAUGUGUUCAACCAUCGGGCGGCCACCUGCAUCAUGGAGGUGCACAAGCACACCCAGAACAAUCCCGAUCUGCUGGACCUGCACUAUCUGCACACCGUGGAGGCCAUCAGCUGUCUGGAUCUCUUCCUCGAUCGCCACAUAACCAAGCUGCGCAAGAGCACGCGUGUGUACAAGCAUGUGUUCAUCAUUACAGGACGGGGACUGCACAGCGCCAAUGGAGUGUCCACCAUCAAGAACAAGGUCAAGUCCAGACUGGGCGAACGACGUUUACGCUGGCAGGAGGUCAAUCCGGGACUGUUGCGCGUGAAGGUGUUUUCUGCAUCGCGACACUCGGAUAACUUUUGAUCAGCAGCCAUAAACGGUGCAGGUCGGAAGAGAAGCAGCAGCGGCCACUAAUCGGUUUCCAUAAUUACCCUUUGUAUUGAUUCUUACAAAAUUCAUAGUUGGCCCAUUUUGCUGGCAGUGUUUUUAUUAUUUACUUAUUUUAAUCAUAUUCCUCAUGCCAUGCAAGAGACAUUCCUCCCAAAUAACCCAUAUCUAUUCCUAAUAUCAACGUUUUAUGUGACACGCGAACCGCGGGCUAAUUGAAGUCGGUAAACAGGUGCUAUAGCCUCGCCAUAGCCAAAAACCAAACUCAAGUAUCUAUCAAAGAUAUAUAUUUUUGUACUACUGCACAAGUUAUUAAACUAUUAGCACAACAAUUUUUUCCAGAACCAGUCUCCGUUAAAUCCUUGCGCCCAGCAGGUAAACCAUCAGGGAUAUAUAUUAUUAGCGAUCAGGUACUUCAACUUCAGCGUUCCCACAAUCAGGUAGAUAGGAUACCCUACCUACUGCGAACAUCUGCCAAGUGCAGAAAACCCCAACGAAUUCCAGUGGAAACCCAGAUUUUUGUUUAAUGUUUGAAACAUGGAAAGACGAUCUUUUAUUUAAGUCUACAAAACUUAAGUUUUCUGGUCUGUUCUCCGGAAACAUUGUACAAAUGUAAAUUCAGUUCAUUAUAUUCAGAUACACAUGCAGUGUGUACACAAA
Molecule: RNA transcript, 3791 nt
Organism: Drosophila guanche
Lineage: Eukaryota; Metazoa; Arthropoda; Insecta; Diptera; Drosophilidae
Gene name: NEDD4-binding protein 2
Exons: 6
Source: RefSeq, a predicted model, not a curated record